CUUCUGAGCUUUCUGUGCCCCAGCUUCCUCAUCAGUGAAAUAGAAGUGAUCAUCCCAGCAUCCCCUCCCAGGUCUCUAGCCCUUUCACUCCUCCUUCAAACAUUUUCAGGAUAUCACCCACCAAGAGCAGGAAGCCCUGCUCUUGACUCUAACAUCAGCCCCUCCACCCAAUUAACUGCUCAUGAGCUCUCUUUUAUGAGAAAGCAAGACCCAUGUUUACCAUUCAUUAUUCAUUUCUGAAUUUUCUGCAAUGUGGAAUGUUUACUUAGAGUUUCCCCUUAUUUUAUCUAUCAUUUUAUCUAUCUUCCUCCCUAGAACAGAAGGCCUUUACCUGACCUCCCAUUUCUGCUAACAAAAUACUCUCUCACUCAGCCAGGCUUAAUCUCAUGCUUCUUUGACUCUUCUUCAUUCUCUACCCUGAAUAACUAAUCAUUCUUCAAGUUUUGUCUAGGGUUCCAUAGAAAAUUCCUUUGUAUGCAUCUUCUCUGUUCUCUUACCUCGUAACUCUUCACAGACAGUAAAUUCCGUAAGAAUAGAAGGCAGAUUCUGGUAUCUUCACAGGUCUACCUAUUCCUAACACCUAUUAGAGGAUUCUCUACUUAGCAAGCACAGAACCCUGCUACACAGACACGGGGCACACAAGAAAGAUAAGCCACAGCCCUCUGAUCUUGAGGAACUGUCAGACCAGGUGGGACAAAAAAACCGAUCCACAUAAUGAGAGGCAUGAGACAAUCCAAAACUUCUGAGAAAAUAAUAGGUGGAUGGGGAUCUGGAAGUACCGAGGCUGAUCAGUCAAGACUAUGAAAGACUAGAGGAACAGUGAAUAGAUGCCUUCAAAUAAUUAACCAAGUCUCACAAAUAUGGAAUGAAUGAAUUAACUAGCUUCCUGUAUUUCAAGAACACAGGACUCAAAUCAGAAAUAAGUAAAAUGUUACAGGAGAAUACACAGAGAACAAAUAAAAGAAUGAAGGCAUCCAAUAAUGGGACAGUUGCUCCAUGAACAGUAGCCCUCAAUCACCACAUGUUCCUGCAGAGCCUCACACACAUAAUAUCUGCCUCAGCCAUGAUUCUAACACUAAGCUGGAAGUGGAAUUCAGUUACUCCAGAGCCCAACCCUCUGACCCAAAGGCCCACAUCACUACAUUAAAAAAAAAAAAAAAAAAAAAAAUUU
This is a long non-coding RNA of Callorhinus ursinus (northern fur seal), 1171 nucleotides long. RefSeq lists it as uncharacterized. The record is from RefSeq and is a predicted model, not a curated record. NCBI's taxonomy places the organism in Eukaryota, Metazoa, Chordata, Mammalia, Carnivora, Otariidae.